Molecule: long non-coding RNA, 552 nt
Organism: Mustela erminea (ermine)
Lineage: Eukaryota; Metazoa; Chordata; Mammalia; Carnivora; Mustelidae
Exons: 3
Source: RefSeq, a predicted model, not a curated record
CCUAACUAACUCCACUGAUUUCAUACAUGAGUCUGUAUGCUCAGCCAUAAGAAAAGAUGAAUACUUCUCUCUUACAUCGACCUGGAUAGAACCGGAGGGUAUUAUGGUGAAUGAAAUCAGUCAUUAGAAAGACAAUUAUCAUCUGAGCACAGGGUCAUAGUCCACACAGAGUUAUGAAAAUAGCAACUCCCUCUCAAGCUCCUCGGGCACCGAGCCCCCACAGAACAGUCUCAACAUGCUCUCUCCUGGAGAAAGGUACAUGGAUUGCUGCAGCCAACUGGUCUACCAGGAGUUUCUCAGCUGCUGUUCCUGGACACACACCUAUCCUUCCCAAGUUGCCAUGGCCACAUCGUGUGGCACUGCUCGGCUGGCUCCAUUGAUGGCACAGAAAAAUUUGACAUGUUUACAAAACCCAGGAGGUCAGAUGUCGACUACGCAGUGCGGUCUAAACUCAGUGGAGCCCAAAGAAGGAACCUCAAGAAAGCUAAAUCUGGCAAAGAAAUCCUAUUUUGGACUAAUUUAAGGAUUUUAAAUCAAGUAUUACAAACUCAA